CUGGCCUCCUUCGGGGGUCCGAGUUGUAAUUUGCAGAGGGUGCUUUGGCGUCGGCAGCGGUCUAAGUUCCUUGGAACAGGACAUCACAGAGGGUGAGAAUCCCGUACGUGGUCGCCUGCCUUCGCCGUGUAAAGCCCCUUCGACGAGUCGAGUUGUUUGGGAAUGCAGCUCUAAAUGGGAGGUAAAUUUCUUCUAAAGCUAAAUACUGGCCAGAGACCGAUAGCGCACAAGUAGAGUGAUCGAAAGAUGAAAAGCACUUUGGAAAGAGAGUCAAACAGCACGUGAAAUUGUUGAAAGGGAAGCGCUUGCAGCCAGACUUGCUCGUAGUUGCUCACCCGGGCUUUUGCCCGGGGCACUCUUCUGCGGGCAGGCCAGCAUCAGUUUGGGCGACCGGAUAACGGCCUCUGUCAUGUAUCUUCCUUCGGGAUGACCUUAUAGGGGAGGCGUAAUGCGGCCAGCCCGGACUGAGGUCCGCGCAUCUGCUAGGAUGCUGGCGUAAUGGCUGUAAGCGGCCCGUCUUGAAACACGGACCAAGGAGUCUAACAUCUAUGCGAGUGUUUGGGUGUCAAGCCCGGACGCGUAAUGAAAGUGAACGGAGGUGGGAACCCUUUCGGGGGCGCACCAUCGACCGAUCCUGAUGUCUUCGGAUGGAUUUGAGUAAGAGCAUAGCUGUUGGGACCCGAAAGAUGGUGAACUAUGCUUGAAUAGGGUGAAGCCAGAGGAAACUCUGGUGGAGGCUCGCAGCGGUUCUGACGUGCAAAUCGAUCGUCAAAUUUGGGCAUAGGGGCGAAAGACUAAUCGAAC
Molecule: ribosomal RNA, 804 nt
Filed under: Pseudokeissleriella bambusicola
Lineage: Eukaryota; Fungi; Ascomycota; Dothideomycetes; Pleosporales; Lentitheciaceae
Description: Lentitheciaceae sp. XY-2022a partial 28S ribosomal RNA
Rfam family: Eukaryotic large subunit ribosomal RNA
Source: RNAcentral